UAGGGAAUCUUCGGCAAUGGACGAAAGUCUGACCGAGCAACGCCGCGUGAGUGAAGAAGGUUUUCGGAUCGUAAAACUCUGUUGUUAGAGAAGAACAAGGACGUUAGUAACUGAACGUCCCCUGACGGUAUCUAACCAGAAAGCCACGGCUAACUACGUGCCAGCAGCCGCGGUAAUACGUAGGCGGCAAGCGUUGUCCGGAUUUAUUGGGCGUAAAGCGAGCGCAGGCGGUUUCUUAAGUCUGAUGUGAAAGCCCCCGGCUCAACCGGGGAGGGUCAUUGGAAACUGGGAGACUUGAGUGCAGAAGAGGAGAGUGGAAUUCCAUGUGUAGCGGUGAAAUGCGUAGAUAUAUGGAGGAACACCAGUGGCGAAGGCGGCUCUCUGGUCUGUAACUGACGCUGAGGCUCGAAAGCGUGGGGAGCAAACAGG
Molecule: ribosomal RNA, 429 nt
Filed under: Gemmatimonadota bacterium
Lineage: Bacteria; Pseudomonadati; Gemmatimonadota
Description: Gemmatimonadetes bacterium partial 16S ribosomal RNA
Rfam family: Bacterial small subunit ribosomal RNA
Source: RNAcentral